This 401-nucleotide long non-coding RNA is filed under the name Coturnix japonica (Japanese quail). RNAcentral describes it as "lncRNA (ENSCJPG00005007376.1)". The record is from RNAcentral. Lineage: Eukaryota; Metazoa; Chordata; Aves; Galliformes; Phasianidae.
GCACAGCUAGUAUGAAGAUUAAGAUGGACAAAGACAGAAAGUAUGUAGUCUUCUGGGAUCACUACUUUAUCUCAAAGAAACAGAAAGCUUUCUAAGGAUUAAGAAGCCUUAAUGUCUGUGAGAGUCUCAACUGACAUGAAAUUGCAGAUAGCUGCAAAGGGCUUGGCAGGAGCAGAGGAAAAGUGUGGGGAGAAAGGAGCAGCAGAAAUGAACUGUUAGGAAGCGACCACAAACCCUAUUCCCUAUCUAUCUUAUGCCGCUCAUGGCCAGGGAGAAGGAAGAGAAGGUGAGAAUGAAGGGAUGAGGCUGAUCUUUGUAAGGUGAGAAGGAGAAAGAUGCUAAAGUUUUUGUCAUUUCUAACUCUAUUUUUAAUUGAUAAUAAAUUAAAAUAUUUUUUCUCA